Molecule: ribosomal RNA, 450 nt
Filed under: uncultured bacterium
Lineage: Bacteria
Description: partial 16S ribosomal RNA
Rfam family: Bacterial small subunit ribosomal RNA
Source: RNAcentral
GUGGGGAAUAUUGGACAAUGGGCGAAAGCCUGAUCCAGCCAUGCCGCGUGUGUGAAGAAGGUCUUCGGAUUGUAAAGCACUUUAAGUUGGGAGGAAGGGCAUUAACCUAAUACGUUAGUGUUUUGACGUUACCGACAGAAUAAGCAUCGGCUAACUUCGUGCCAGCAGCCGCGGUAAUACGAAGGGUGCAAGCGUUAAUCGGAAUUACUGGGCGUAAAGCGCGCGUAGGUGGUUCGUUAAGUUGGAUGUGAAAGCCCCGGGCUCAACCUGGGAACUGCAUCCAAAACUGGCGAGCUAGAGUACGGUAGAGGGUGGUGGAAUUUCCUGUGUAGCGGUGAAAUGCGUAGAUAUAGGAAGGAACACCAGUGGCGAAGGCGACCACCUGGACUGAUACUGACACUGAGGUGCGAAAGCGUGGGGAGCAAACAGGAUUAGAAACCCUAGUAGUCC